GCGAUGGACUCAGAUCUAAGGCGGUUGGUCACUUCAUACGUUCUGAGGGUGACUCCAAAGAUGUCCUCGUGGUACCGGUUGUCAUCCUAUGAAGAGAAACAGCCAGGCCGGGGAGGGGGGAGUCAAAUGGCAGGGCGCGGUACACAGACUCAGCCAGCUGUUCCUGCAGCACGUCCUGUACAUAUUUCUGCAGAAGAGGAGGACCGUGAGCUACUGCCACUGUGAGAGGCUUCUGUGCCCCGCCCACCAGGAAGCCGCCCGUGGUGCAGGGGCUUGUGGGUAGGGAGCUAUUUUGUGAGCUAACCUCAGCAAUGAGGCAAGGGACUAGAAAGAGUGAAAUGGGACCAAACCACCAUGUGCGAAUGAGCUGAUUCCAGUCUUGGGCAGCCGGAGCUUGGCUGCUGAGGGUCCUCUGGGGAGCUGGGAGAGGAUUUGGGGGGGUGCUCUUUAGAUAACCUACGUUGGGAGCACCCCAGAACGCAUGGUUCAUCUUGACUGUCAACUUGAUAAACCUAGAGGUGUCUAGG
Non-coding RNA from Rattus norvegicus (Norway rat), 527 nucleotides. The record is from RefSeq and is a predicted model, not a curated record. NCBI's taxonomy places the organism in Eukaryota, Metazoa, Chordata, Mammalia, Rodentia, Muridae.